UACGGAGGGUGCGAGCGUUAAUCGGAAUUACUGGGCGUAAAGCGCGCGUAGGCGGUUUGGUAAGCUGGAUGUGAAAGCCCUGGGCUCAACCUGGGAACUGCAUCCAGAACUGCCAAGCUAGAGUAUGGUAGAGGACAGUGGAAUUUCCGGUGUAGCGGUGAAAUGCGUAGAGAUCGGAAGGAACACCAGUGGCGAAGGCGACUGUCUGGACCAAUACUGACGCUGAGGUGCGAAAGCGUGGGGAACAAACAGG
RNAcentral lists this ribosomal RNA (253 nucleotides) under uncultured bacterium. RNAcentral describes it as "partial 16S ribosomal RNA". It matches the Rfam family "Bacterial small subunit ribosomal RNA", at positions 524 to 776 of the family's 1533-position model. The record is from RNAcentral.